This 406-nucleotide ribosomal RNA is filed under the name uncultured bacterium. Its description in RNAcentral is "partial 16S ribosomal RNA". It matches the Rfam family "Bacterial small subunit ribosomal RNA", at positions 29 to 526 of the family's 1533-position model. The record is from RNAcentral.
AUUGAACUCUGGCGGCAGGCCUAACACAUGCAAGUCGAGCGAGCGGCGGACGGGUGAGUCAUGUCUGGGAAACUGCCUGAUGGAGGGGGAUAACUACUGGAAACGGUAGCUAAUACCGCAUACCAUCAGAUGUGCCCAGAUGGGAUUAGCUAGUAGGUGGGGUAAUGGCUCACCUAGGCGACGAUCCCUAGGUGGUCUGAGAGGAUGACCAGACAAACGGAAACUGAGACACGGUCCAGACUCCGACGGGAUGCAGCAGUGGGGAAUAUGGCACAAUGGGCGCAAGCCUGAUGCAGCCAGGCGGCGUGUGUGAAGAAGGCCUUCGGGUUGUAAAGCACUGUCAGCGGGGAGGCGUUACCCGCAGAAGAAGAACCGGCUAACUCCGUGCCAGCAGCCGCGGUAAUUC